AUUACUUUGGCAGAAAAAUGCAUUAAGUUUAGGACUUAAAAAUAUAGUUUAAUUCUAUAGGUAAUA
This 66-nucleotide transfer RNA is filed under the name Pisidia serratifrons. RNAcentral's name for it is "tRNA-Leu". It matches the Rfam family "tRNA". From Rfam's summary of the family: Transfer RNA (tRNA) molecules are approximately 80 nucleotides in length. Lineage: Eukaryota; Metazoa; Arthropoda; Malacostraca; Decapoda; Porcellanidae. The record is from RNAcentral.